RNAcentral lists this long non-coding RNA (594 nucleotides) under Vitis vinifera (wine grape). Its description in RNAcentral is "long non-coding RNA (VVIN_LNC003641)". Lineage: Eukaryota; Viridiplantae; Streptophyta; Magnoliopsida; Vitales; Vitaceae. The record is from RNAcentral.
UGAUUUACUCUUUACUUCUACCAUAAGCCCUACCACCCUACUCUUCUUCAUUUACUUCCUUUGCUACCCCCAUUCUUUCUAUAAAGCCUAAAAAGGUGAAACCAUAUUCCAUCUUUUAAUUGAUGAUAGGUACUUACCAUAGGGUUGUCUAUUGUUAUGCUUAGUUGGGACUCUUUUAAGUUUUAAUCGAAUUCUCUAUUUGCCAAUUUAAAAAUGGAACUCAAAUCCCAAAAUCACAAAAUAACAAUACAUACAAACUAACUAUUUACAUGGAUGAAUCCAAAUACAUAUUUGUUAUAUUUAUAUAUUUUAGGGUGAAUGUACCUAUCAUUUGCAAGAUUCCAAGCUUCUUGCCUCAAUUCUGGAGGAGUUUUGAGGGUGGCAAGGUAGUUUGAUAUGAAUUUAUGAGGAUGCUCCACAUGACAAAUAAAACCCAUCUCUUUCAAGAUGUGUCUUUCAGUUCUGCUCAAAUGAGUCUUCAAUUCAGCAUAUUUCUGUUAACAAAGAGCAAAGAUAAGCACACACUUUAGGAAGAAAACACAUCAAGACUUCUAAUAAACAACAUAUACAUUCCCAGACUUUCGUAACCAAUAU